UCCAGACUCCUACGGGAGGCAGCAGUGGGGAAUAUUGGACAAUGGGGGGAACCCUGAUCCAGCGACGCCGCGUGAGUGAAGAAGUAUUUCGGUAUGUAAAGCUCUAUCAGCAGGGAAGAAAGAAAUGACGGUACCUGACUAAGAAGCCCCGGCUAACUACGUGCCAGCAGCCGCGGUAAUACGUAGGGGGCAAGCGUUAUCCGGAUUUACUGGGUGUAAAGGGGGCGCAGACGGCCAUGGCAAGCCCGGUGUGGAAGGCAGGGGCAUAACCCCUGGACUGCACUGGGAACUGUCAGGCUGGAGUGCCGGAGGGGUAAGCGGAAUUCCUGGUGUAGCGGUGAAAUGCGUAGAUAUCAGGAGGAACACCGGCGGCGAAGGCGGCUUACUGGACGGAAACUGACGUUGAGGCCCGAAAGCGUGGGGAGCGAACAGGAUUAGAUACCCGGGUA
This 449-nucleotide ribosomal RNA is filed under the name uncultured bacterium. Its description in RNAcentral is "bacterial SSU rRNA". It matches the Rfam family "Bacterial small subunit ribosomal RNA", at positions 330 to 792 of the family's 1533-position model. The record is from RNAcentral.